AGAGUUUGAUCAUGGCUCAGAACGAACGCUGGCGGCAGGCCUAACACAUGCAAGUCGAGCGCGCCUUCGGGCGAGCGGCGGACGGGUUAGUAACGCGUGGGAACGUGCCCAGAUCUACGGAAUAGCCACUGGAAACGGUGAGUAAUACCGUAUACGCCCUUCGGGGGAAAGAUUUAUCGGAUUUGGAUCGGCCCGCGUUAGAUUAGGUAGUUGGUGGGGUAACGGCCUACCAAGCCUACGAUCUAUAGCUGGUUUUAGAGGAUGAUCAGCAACACUGGGACUGAGACACGGCCCAGACUCCUACGGGAGGCAGCAGUGGGGAAUCUUGGACAAUGGGGGCAACCCUGAUCCAGCCAUGCCGCGUGAGUGAAGAAGGCCCUAGGGUCGUAAAACUCUUUCGCCUGUGAUGAUAAUGACAGUAGCAGGUAAAGAAACCCCGGCUAACUCCGUGCCAGCAGCCGCGGUAAUACGGAGGGGGUCAGCGUUGUUCGGAAUUACUGGGCGUAAAGCGCACGUAGGCGGAUUAGAAAGUUAGAGGUGAAAUCCCGGGGCUCAACCCCGGAACUGCCUUUAAAACUAUUAGUCUAGAGUUCGAGAGAGGUGAGUGGAAUUCCGAGUGUAGAGGUGAAAUUCGUAGAUAUUCGGAGGAACACCAGUGGCGAAGGCGGCUCACUGGCUCGAUACUGACGCUGAGGUGCGAAAGUGUGGGGAGCAAACAGGAUUAGAUACCCUGGUAGUCCACACCGUAAACGAUGAAUGCCAGUCGUCGGGUAGUAUACUAUUCGGUGACACACCUAACGGAUUAAGCAUUCCGCCUGGGGAGUACGGUCGCAAGAUUAAAACUCAAAGGAAUUGACGGGGGGCCCGCACAAGCGGUGGAGCAUGUGGUUUAAUUCGAAAGCACGCGCAGAACCUUUACCACCCUUGACAUCCUGUGCUACAUUCAGAGAUGAAUGGUUUCCUUCGGGGACGCAGUGACAGGUGCUGCAUGGCUGUCGUCAGCUCGUGUCGUGAGAUGUUCGGUUAAGUCCCGGCACGAGCGCAACCACAUCCCUAGUUGCAGCAGUUCGCUGGCACUCUAUGGAACUGCCGUGAUAGCGGGAGAAGGUUGGAUGACUCCAGUCUCAUGGGCUUACGGGUGGGCUACCCCUGCUUCAGGGCAUCUCGUGGGUUAAUCCCAAAAAUGUCCAUUUCGAUGCUUCUGGCAUCGACCGCUGAAUCGAAUCCCUAGAAUCCCGAAAACCUGCCCGGGGAACCUUCCCGGCCUUGAACCCCCCCCAAACCCAAGGAUUCCCGCCCCCCUGGGGUCCCCUUGGGGAAACCCCCACGGGUGAAGGGAAUUGGGUUUUCUUAAGGCCCCAAAAAUUUUGGGAAACAGGGGAAAUGUUUUCUGGGGAAAAUUUUUCCCCCCCAACCCCCCCCAAACAAACCGGGAAACAAAGGGGAAACCCGGGGGGGCCAAAGGGAGAAACCCCAAAAAUUAUUGUUCCCCCCCGCCCCCCUUUCCCCGG
This 1511-nucleotide ribosomal RNA is filed under the name uncultured bacterium. Its description in RNAcentral is "partial 16S ribosomal RNA". It matches the Rfam family "Bacterial small subunit ribosomal RNA". The record is from RNAcentral.